Molecule: ribosomal RNA, 201 nt
Filed under: uncultured bacterium
Lineage: Bacteria
Description: partial 16S ribosomal RNA
Rfam family: Bacterial small subunit ribosomal RNA
Source: RNAcentral
ACGCUCGACACCUACGGGAUGCAGCAGGUGGGGAAUAUUGCACAAGUGGGGGAAACCCUGAUGCAGCGACGCCGCGUGGAGGAAGAAGGUCUUCGGAUUGUAAACUCCUGUUGUUAGGGGAAAAAGAGGAUGGUACCCAACAAGGAAGUGACGGCUAACUACGUGGCAGCAGCCGCGGUAAUCUGAGCGGGCUGGCAAGGC